GAGCUUGCUCCUCUGAUUUAGCGGCGGACGGGUGAGUAACACGUGGGUAAUCUGCCUGUAAGACGGGGAUAACUCCGGGAAACCGGGGCUAAUACCGGAUAAUAAGAAGAAACGCAUGUUUCUUUUUUGAAAGUCGGUUUCGGCUGACACUUACAGAUGAGCCCGCGGCGCAUUAGCUAGUUGGUGAGGUAACGGCUCACCAAGGCGACGAUGCGUAGCCGACCUGAGAGGGUGAUCGGCCACACUGGGACUGAGACACGGCCCAGACUCCUACGGGAGGCAGCAGUAGGGAAUCUUCGGCAAUGGGCGAAAGCCUGACCGAGCAACGCCGCGUGAGCGAUGAAGGCCUUCGGGUCGUAAAGCUCUGUUGUUAGAGAAGAACAAGUACGAGAGUAACUGCUCGUACCUUGACGGUACCUAACCAGAAAGCCACGGCUAACUACGUGCCAGCAGCCGCGGUAAUACGUAGGUGGCAAGCGUUAUCCGGAAUUAUUGGGCGUAAAGCGCGCGCAGGCGGUCUCUUAAGUCUGAUGUGAAAGCCCACGGCUCAACCGUGGAGGGUCAUUGGAAACUGGGAGACUUGAGUGCAGGAGAGAAAAGUGGAAUUCCACGUGUAGCGGUGAAAUGCGUAGAGAUGUGGAGGAACACCAGUGGCGAAGGCGGCUUUUUGGCCUGUAACUGACGCUGAGGCGCGAAAGCGUGGGGAGCAAACAGGAUUAGAUACCCUGGUAGUCCACGCCGUAAACGAUGAGUGCUAGGUGUUGGGGGGUUCCACCCUCAGUGCUGAAGUUAACACAUUAAGCACUCCGCCUGGGGAGUACGACCGCAAGGUUGAAACUCAAAGGAAUUGACGGGGGCCCGCACAAGCAGUGGAGCAUGUGGUUUAAUUCGAAGCAACGCGAAGAACCUUACCAGGUCUUGACAUCCUUUGACCACUCUAGAGAUAGAGCUUUCCCCUUCGGGGGACAAAGUGACAGGUGGUGCAUGGUUGUCGUCAGCUCGUGUCGUGAGAUGUUGGGUUAAGUCCCGCAACGAAAGCCGCAACCCCUUGACCUUAAGGUUGCCAGGCCAUUCAGUUUUGGGCCACUUCUAAGGUGACCUUGCCGGUGACCAAAACCGGAGGGGAAGGGUGGGGAUGACGUCAAAUCAUCAUGCCCCUUAUG
This 1163-nucleotide ribosomal RNA is filed under the name Fictibacillus sp. RNAcentral's name for it is "bacterial SSU rRNA". It matches the Rfam family "Bacterial small subunit ribosomal RNA", at positions 76 to 1206 of the family's 1533-position model. Lineage: Bacteria; Bacillati; Bacillota; Bacilli; Caryophanales; Fictibacillaceae. The record is from RNAcentral.